GUCGAUACUCCCACACCCUCGGAAAACACCACUGUUUUUUUUCUGUCUCGUAGCAUCUCCGGAACUCCCGUUCAAAACUCCGGCUAUCGAUCACAGAUUUCUUCUAAGAAACAGGGGAAAUAGCAACCCACAUGCGUGGAACGGCUGCGUUAUUGCCCGUGAAGAAUAAAUUCAUUCGCAUGUAUCCCGUAAAAACAUCAUAUGUUGCUAGUUUGACACCGAAGAAGGUAGAAGAUGACGAUUUUGAGAAGAAAGGAGAGAUGAAGAAGGAAGGCGAUCCAAUUGUUACGUUCAGUACGCCGCCACCACAGAUUCCACCGGUCCUCGGACCGAUUGUUCUAAUAUCGCUCUGGGAAGCAUCGUCCGAUGACAAGUGAGAAAUUAAGGUGAUGUUUUUGAAUCAAGAAACUGGUUUGGUUCUCUUGUCUUUGCAAUUUGGAGUGAUGUUGAGCUGAAACUAGAAUCUUGAUGACUCGAAGUCUACUAUAAAAAUACUUCGUUAUAAUAAUAGUGUUCAUCUGUUGAAAUUCAAUGGAUUUCU
Cynara cardunculus var. scolymus (artichoke) is the source of this 541-nucleotide long non-coding RNA. RefSeq lists it as uncharacterized. The record is from RefSeq and is a predicted model, not a curated record. The transcript has 3 exons. NCBI's taxonomy places the organism in Eukaryota, Viridiplantae, Streptophyta, Magnoliopsida, Asterales, Asteraceae.